AUAUCUCUCUGUACGGGAAGGAUGAGAAGCUUCGACUAAGGUUCGAUUCGAGCGAAGCGAGAAAGCGUUGCCAACGGCAACGACCCGAAGGGCGAAGCGCGCAGCGCUGAGUAAUCCUUCCCCCACCACCA
Molecule: small RNA, 131 nt
Filed under: Salmonella enterica subsp. enterica serovar Give
Lineage: Bacteria; Pseudomonadati; Pseudomonadota; Gammaproteobacteria; Enterobacterales; Enterobacteriaceae
Description: RtT sRNA
Rfam family: RtT RNA
About the family: This family represents a bacterial cis-regulatory element known as RtT RNA. The exact function of RtT is unknown although it is thought that it may be involved in changing the cellular response in relation to amino acid starvation.
Source: RNAcentral